Molecule: transfer RNA, 75 nt
Filed under: Lachnospiraceae bacterium
Lineage: Bacteria; Bacillati; Bacillota; Clostridia; Lachnospirales; Lachnospiraceae
Description: tRNA-Met
Rfam family: tRNA
About the family: Transfer RNA (tRNA) molecules are approximately 80 nucleotides in length. Their secondary structure includes four short double-helical elements and three loops (D, anti-codon, and T loops). Further hydrogen bonds mediate the characteristic L-shaped molecular structure. tRNAs have two regions of fundamental functional importance: the anti-codon, which is responsible for specific mRNA codon recognition, and the 3' end, to which the tRNAs corresponding amino acid is attached (by aminoacyl-tRNA synthetases). tRNAs cope with the degeneracy of the genetic code in two manners: having more than one tRNA (with a specific anti-codon) for a particular amino acid; and 'wobble' base-pairing, i.e. permitting non-standard base-pairing at the 3rd anti-codon position.
Source: RNAcentral
CGCGGGAUGGACUGGAGAUGGCACCAGCCGAGCCUCAUAAGCUCUGAUACGUGGGUUCAAAUCCCACUCCCGCAA